RNAcentral lists this long non-coding RNA (488 nucleotides) under Homo sapiens (human). Its description in RNAcentral is "long intergenic non-protein coding RNA 1374, transcript variant 1 (LINC01374)". Lineage: Eukaryota; Metazoa; Chordata; Mammalia; Primates; Hominidae. The record is from RNAcentral.
AGAAUUUAGUUUACAGUUUAAUUGUGAAGCAAGGAUAAUAAUAGUCGCUUCCUAAAACUGAUCCGCUCCUUGUUUGGAGACUGAAACAGUCUUUGUAAGACAAUGAAAGGUCACAAGAUUAGUAUUCUGAGAGGGGCCUGAAUUCUGCUAAAAUGUUGCUAACUUUGGAGGAAGCCAGCUGCCAUGUCACAAAAAGAUUCAGGAAGCCAUGUGGAGAGGCCCACAUCAUGAGGAACUGAGGUCUUUGCCAAUUACCAGCAAGGAAAUGAGGCCUCCUGCCAACAGCCACGUGAGUAUCCUACCUUGGAAAUGGACCCUCUAACUUCAAUCAGCCUUCAAAUAACUGCAGCCCCAGUUGAUGGCUUGACUGCAACCUUAGGAGAAACCCUGAGCCAAAAACAUUGAGGAAAAACACCCCCAGAUUCCUAUCAGAAAUUGUGUAAGAUAAUAAAUGUUUGUUGUUUUAAGCUGCUAAAAAAAAAAAAAAA